ANCGNNGGUUGAGGGGUUUCCUAGCGAAGCCCAACCUCCCACCCGUGUUUACUGUACCUUAGUUGCUUCGGCGGGCCCGCCAUUCAUGGCCGCCGGGGGCUCUCAGCCCCGGGCCCGCGCCCGCCGGAGACACCACGAACUCUGUCUGAUCUAGUGAAGUCUGAGUUGAUUGUAUCGCAAUCAGUUAAAACUUUCAACAAUGGAUCUCUUGGUUCCGGCAUCGAUGAAGAACGCAGCGAAAUGCGAUAACUAGUGUGAAUUGCAGAAUUCCGUGAAUCAUCGAGUCUUUGAACGCACAUUGCGCCCCCUGGUAUUCCGGGGGGCAUGCCUGUCCGAGCGUCAUUGCUGCCCAUCAAGCACGGCUUGUGUGUUGGGUCGUCGUCCCCUCUCCGGGGGGGACGGGCCCCAAAGGCAGCGGCGGCACCGCGUCCGAUCCUCGAGCGUAUGGGGCUUUGUCACCCGCUCUGUAGGCCCGGCCGGCGCUUGCCGAACGCAAAUCAAUCUUUUUCCGGGUUGACCUCGGAUCAGGUAGGGAUACCCGCUGAACUUAUGCAUAUCAAUAA
This 563-nucleotide ribosomal RNA is filed under the name Aspergillus oryzae. Its description in RNAcentral is "eukaryotic LSU rRNA". The stretch from base 189 to 342 matches the Rfam family "5.8S ribosomal RNA". The record is from RNAcentral. Lineage: Eukaryota; Fungi; Ascomycota; Eurotiomycetes; Eurotiales; Aspergillaceae.